This 125-nucleotide non-coding RNA is filed under the name Phytopythium vexans DAOM BR484. Lineage: Eukaryota; Oomycota; Peronosporomycetes; Pythiales; Pythiaceae. The record is from RNAcentral.
GUGUUCGUUGAGCCGAGAGACGGUUAGCAUCUCCCUCGACAAGGACGGGAUUGCACCCCUACAGGUGUAUCCAAACCACCUGGAUGGUUUAAGCUCUGUCUUCAUGACAUCUAGCCCAUUUUUUU